GACGAACGCUGGCGGCGUGCUUAACACAUGCAAGUCGAGCGGUAAGGCCCUUUCGGGGGUACACGAGCGGCGAACGGGUGAGUAACACGUGGGUGACCUGCCCUCAGCUCUGGGAUAAGCCUGGGAAACCGGGUCUAAUACCGGAUAUGACUCCAUGACGCAUGUUGUGGGGUGGAAAGCCUUGUGCGGCUGAGGAUGGGCCCGCGGCCUAUCAGCUUGUUGGUGGGGNGAUGGCCUACCAAGGCGACGACGGGUAGCCGGCCUGAGAGGGCGACCGGCCACACUGGGACUGAGACACGGCCCCGACUCCUACGGGAGGCAGCAGUGGGGAAUUUUCCGCAAUGGGCGAAAGCCUGACGGAGUGACGCCGCGUGUGGGACGAAGGCC
Molecule: ribosomal RNA, 387 nt
Filed under: uncultured bacterium
Lineage: Bacteria
Description: bacterial SSU rRNA
Rfam family: Bacterial small subunit ribosomal RNA
Source: RNAcentral